AAUAUCAAAUCUUCGGAGCCUUGGGAUGAGCCUGCGUCUGAUUAGGUAGUUGGCGGAGUAAUAGCCCACCAAGCCUACGAUCAGUAGCUGGUCUGAGAGGAUGAUCAGCCACACUGGAACUGAGACACGGUCCAGACUCCUGCGGGAGGCAGCAGUAAGGAAUAUUGCUCAAUGGGGGGAAACCCUGAAGCAGCAACGCCGCGUGAAGGAUGAAAUACUUUUGUAUGUAAACUUCUGUAAGAUGGGAAAAAUAUUCUCCUCGGGAGAAUUGAUUGUACCAUCAGAGUAAGCCCCGGCUAACUACGUG
RNAcentral lists this ribosomal RNA (307 nucleotides) under uncultured bacterium. Its description in RNAcentral is "bacterial SSU rRNA". It matches the Rfam family "Bacterial small subunit ribosomal RNA", at positions 197 to 507 of the family's 1533-position model. The record is from RNAcentral.